AAAUAACACAAUAUUUCAAUUGUAAAUUCGAGAGGGUGUUAAAGUGCGCAAACCGAGCGAACCAAUCUAUUGGUUCGUAUUUUAAGGAGAGAUGCGAGUCUUUAUCGAUCUGAAGCCUCCAGUAACUGCCCUAAGUCAUCCAACAGCUGCUGAAACACCAGGAAACACCACCGAGUGGCCAACGGAAAAGUUUCUCCGUUUCCACUUUUCUGCCCGAGACUGUAUCUACUUCCACAAUACACCAAACUGAAAUCCAACACCACCAGAAGGUCAGAAAUUCAUCAAGGAACAAUCUGUCUUUUUUGACCUCAGGCUGAAAACUUCUCACCCGCCGCCCUUGUUCUAUGCGUGUGGUCUCAUGCGCCACCUCCACCAUCAGUGCAUGUGCAACACGUGCUUCACCAAAGUGUUUUGCUUGACGUCUGGAGUCUUGUGAUGGUCUCCGUUAAUCCACCAGAUGUAUAGUUUUUCCAGAAAAUGGGUUCAAAGUUUCUGCUGAACUUGUUUUCAAACAAAAUCGAACCUCUUCGACUUCCAAUCCGAUUUUCAUGUUGUUUUAACACUUUUUACCACUAGCAUAUACUCUGAUACCAUUUGUAGAGUUUAAAGUGUAGUAUACAAAAGAUUAUUACAACUACAAUGCAGAAUAAUAAACUCUCAAAGUGUAAAACCGAACCAAACACGACUCAAAGUUUCUUUAACACCACCAAUGAAGUGUUCUUGAUGUUGAGCUCAGAUUUGUGCCACAUCGGAUCAUGCACCAUCGUCCAUGAGAAUGGCAAUGGAUAUACCGAGAAAUGAUCCGCCGGAAGCCACCAAGAAUUUCGCCAGAGUUAUGGAAAGCUCCCACUUGGUUACCUCUCUAUGCUCUCUCUCAAAUGUUAU
RNAcentral lists this long non-coding RNA (885 nucleotides) under Olea europaea subsp. europaea. The record is from RNAcentral. Lineage: Eukaryota; Viridiplantae; Streptophyta; Magnoliopsida; Lamiales; Oleaceae.